RNAcentral lists this long non-coding RNA (834 nucleotides) under Equus caballus (horse). RNAcentral's name for it is "lncRNA (ENSECAG00000048086.1)". The record is from RNAcentral. Lineage: Eukaryota; Metazoa; Chordata; Mammalia; Perissodactyla; Equidae.
GUACAGAAGCCCUACUUGAAACCUUUUGUAAGUCUAAGUGCUUCUGAAAGGCUCUCCUCCAGGGGUGCAGCUCCCUGCCCUCCUGUGGUGUCGUGAAAGAAUGUCAUUCACCCUCCCGUCAACCCUGAGAACAAGAGGCCAUUUCUCAGCGGGUGAAUCAAGCUACCAUGAGUGCCAAGGUGUCAGAGGGACUCAACUUGUCCCUUGCCAGUCACAUGAUCCUUGGCUGAGGCCUCCCCUUUGGAAAGCAGGACAAUGUCGCAUCUGCAUCUCACUCACGGACCCCAGGUGCCAGCUGAGGGUCAGGCGGCAAGGUCACAGCGUUGACAAUAACCACCAUCCAGUGACAGAUAGCCGUGUCUGGCUCGGUGCUAAGCCCUCACACGUGUGAACUCUCUUCAUCUUUGCACCAGCUUGGUGACGAAGGUAUAUUUUAUGCCCACCUCCAAGCCUGUUUCAUAAAUGAAGAUUCAGAGGCUUCGAGAAGGGGAGAGGUGCCCCGAUCGCACCCUAGAAGGAGGCAGGCGGGAGGACCUUCUCCGCGGAACUCAGGUUGGACUCAGACUCACAGAGAUGCCUCAGCUGCCACCUGCCCCCCGCCUUGAGCAGAACCAUCGUUCUAGAGAACUUGCUGGCUUCGUAGUAAUCCCUUCCUUUCUGGCUCCUGGGAUCUUGUUCACUGUCUGGUCCUCUUCAAGCCCUGGAACACAGUAGGUGUUCAACAAAUAUUUGCAGAAAGAAUAGUUCUCAUUCAUGUUGCUGUUUGAUCUUCCCCCACAUCCCUGUGAGGGAGCGAAUUAGGAAAUGUGAUUGCUGCCGGUGUUAGUCAUCUCG